This is a long non-coding RNA of Penaeus monodon (black tiger shrimp), 310 nucleotides long. RefSeq lists it as uncharacterized. Lineage: Eukaryota; Metazoa; Arthropoda; Malacostraca; Decapoda; Penaeidae. The transcript has 3 exons. The record is from RefSeq and is a predicted model, not a curated record.
AAGAAUGAAAUGGAAAGGAAAGAAACAAAAGUGAGCAGGAAUAUAGGAGUGAGCAAGAGGGCCGAGGUGUCAAUGUCUUGAUGAAUGACGUCUGUGGAGACCAGAUCACCUUGGGUCACAAUGAAUCUGUUAUAAUCUACAGCAAUAACGAUCGGCAAUCUAGGUCAUGUAAGCUAAAAUGUGAAGGCACCUCAAAGCUCCGAGAUCGGCUUUUCCUGUGUAUCAUUCAACAUCUUCAGUGGCAGCUGCAAAACGGAAUCUUUAGAGGUUAUCUAUAAAGUCAAUUCAGAAAAGACCAGGUACGGUGCUA